Orcinus orca (killer whale) is the source of this 2495-nucleotide RNA transcript. It is a transcript of the gene named translation initiation factor IF-2-like, with no coding region annotated. Lineage: Eukaryota; Metazoa; Chordata; Mammalia; Artiodactyla; Delphinidae. The record is from RefSeq and is a predicted model, not a curated record. The transcript is spliced from 3 exons.
UCCUAUUGCUCUAGGAACCAUACGGUUAUCAGCAUUUCUUAAUAUUUUACUGUUAGUACUUAAUACAAUUAGUCUUUUUUCAAUAACGUGUGUUUUGGUUCAGAUAUAAUAAAAUGAAUUCUGGUCAAAAUUCAGGUUAAUUUCUGAAAUCAUCUAUCUUUUCGCUAGCUGGCUUUUCUUCAUCUCUGCAGAAGUAGUUUGUGCAAUGUCAAAUGUUUUGGCAAUCAAAAUCUUAGUGCAACAGAAAUUCCUUUGGCACCAACCCACGCCUACUUAUUUCUACUAAAACUUCAUAGUACAUCACAAUGUGAAAUGAUCAUGUUAAUAGGGGGAAUGGAAUUGGAUAUAUACAUCAUGAUUUCAUUGAUUUAUUCAUUUAUAUGUUUAUCGAGAAACUACUAUAUACCCAGCACAAUGGCAUUCCAGGCAUCAGACAUACAGAAUCCUAGACAUUGGAAUUCCUGCCUUGAGAAAUGAUAUGAGGGAAAUAGGCAUUAAGACUACAAACACUUACUGAGAUUCUAUGCGUCAAGCAUUGGCUAAGUUCAAAGAGAACAGUGGUGAAUGAACAGAUUUUCCACCUUGAUGAUGAUUGCAGAUGAGCAGACAUGUAGACAAACACUGUUUGUCAGGGUAUUGUAACUGUUGGACAUAAACAGCGUGGUGGGAACUAGAGGAAACAACUUCCUGGGAGCAUUUGGAAAGAUGAUAUUUGUAAUUUGCUUUAUGCAGAAAAUAAUCUUCCUUGUUUAUUUUUUUCCAAAAGGUUUUCCUUUUCUAGUGUUAUCUUUGCUUAAAAUAAGACAUGCAUGUACUUAGAAUUUGCCAGAAGAGAAUCUUACCCAAGGAUUCUUAGUCACUGAGAUAUGAAUGACUUUUCCAAAGAGGUCUGUAGAGGUCUCACACUCUGACCCCAUCACCUAACAGUUCCAAGCCCUAAUUAUUGCCUCAGAUUUUUGGCCCUGCCUCAGGGUCUCUCAUUCUGCAGGACUAGAGUGUGGCCUGAGAAUUUUUAUUUCUAACAGGCUCCCAGAAGUUGCUGAUGCUGCCUGUCCAAGGCCCACACUUUAAUAAUAAGCAUGGUUUAGGGAAUUAAAUAUACCAACUGCUCAAGUUAAAGUCAUUAUUAAAGGACUGCAAGACAGAUGAUAUCUCUGAUUCAUAGGAGGAAUAACAAGGCAUACGUUAGUAAUAAAAUACAAAUUUAGAUAGGCAGGCAAAAUAAAAUAAUAAAUAUUUUAUAUCCUAAAUGCAAGAAUCUAUUAACUUGAAGUCAGAAAUCUGUUAUCACUGAUUAUCAGGAUUCAAAAUACUUAGAGGUUGAGAUGCUUUAUGGUUUAACUUGAAAUAACUCUUCUUUUCCUCUUCCAUAGACAGACGUUUUAGAAAUUUAGAUUUAAAAAAAAAAUUCUGACUACAUCCAAACGAGUAACAUAAUGUUAGAUUUUGUGGUGAGAACACAGUCCCAAGGAUGUGGGGGAAUUUGUUAUUUCUUGUGAAUGGGCCUCUUGGGAAACAAACUUCUAACACAGCAUCAAUGAGAGCAAACAAAAGGUACUAGGAUGGUGGUGACAAUACAGGAGGUCUGGGCAACAUGAGGGGGACAGAUGCCAACUAAGAGUCUUUAAAAAAAAAAUGAAAAGAGAGAAUCUAUAUUUUUAGAUUAAUCUGCCUGCAGUCUGAAAACUCAAUGUGCCUAAUAUCAAGAGGGCUACACUCCUAGGCUGUUAUUAAUAGAAACAUAACUACAUCAAGAAAAGUAUCUAUGCUGUAUUAUUUUCCUCCUGCUGCUAAGCUUUGUUACAGCAAAUCAUACUUUAUUGGCUUAAAACAACACAAAUUUAUUUCCUUACAGUUCUAGAGGUCAGAAGUCCAAAAUCAAGAUGUCAUCAAGGCUGCAUUCCUUCUAGAGGUUCCAGGGGGGAAUCAGUUUCCUUGCCUUUUCCAGUGUCUAAAGACCACUUGCAUUCCACGGCUUGUGGCCCUUCUUCCAUUUUCAAGGCCGGCAGCAUAGCAUCUUCAGCUGGGAGACAUCAAGCCAGCGUCUGGAGAAGGCAGAACAAGAAGACAGAAAGGAUCUGGAUCCUUGAUGAGGUGGACCAGCUGCUAAAUGAUCUGACCCUGGAAUCGUUAUAAACCCCAAAAUCAUCCCGCAUAUACAACUAGCAGUCUAGAACCCUGACAAUCCAGGCUGUCAUCAGAAAAUAACCAUGGGGGCUUCCCUGGUGGCGCAGUGGUUAAGAAUCCGCCUGCCAAUGCAGGGGCCAUGGGUUCGAGCUCUGGUCCGGGAAGAUCCCACAUGCCACGGAGCAACUAAGCCCAUGCACAACUACUGAAGCCUGCGCGCCUAGGACCCAUGCUCCAAAACAAAGAGAAGCCACCGCAAUGAGAAACCCACGCACCGCAACGAAGAGUUGCCCCCGCUCGCCGCAACUAGAGAAAGCCCGCGGGCAGCAACAAAGACCCAACGCAGCCAAAAAAUAAAAUAAAAUAAA